UUUUUAGUAUAAGUAUGUCCUAUGCAAUAUUGGGGACAUAUUGAUGCUAAAA
This 52-nucleotide microRNA precursor is filed under the name Camelus bactrianus (Bactrian camel). RNAcentral's name for it is "mir-1302 microRNA precursor family". It matches the Rfam family "mir-1302 microRNA precursor family". The record is from Rfam by way of RNAcentral. Lineage: Eukaryota; Metazoa; Chordata; Mammalia; Artiodactyla; Camelidae. RNAcentral also lists the same sequence under 2 other names.